Molecule: long non-coding RNA, 1231 nt
Organism: Dalotia coriaria
Lineage: Eukaryota; Metazoa; Arthropoda; Insecta; Coleoptera; Staphylinidae
Exons: 2
Source: RefSeq, a predicted model, not a curated record
GUGGCGGUCGGUGACGCUGUAGCAAAUGAGGAAACCUUCGCCGCAGCGCAUGUAUUGGUCUCGCAUGGCAGUGAAUUCCACCUAAAACAUUUAUUUUGGGUGUUACUAUUAAAAUUAAAAAAGAAGUCAAUUUUACUUACUUGUCCAGCUGUGUCUAGGAUAUCAAGUAGUGCAGGUUCACCAUCAAUGACUGCUUGUUGCUGGUAUGAAUCUUCUGCAAAUUUGACAAAUAUAUAAGAAAAAUUCAACUUUGCAGGAUGAAAAUAACAGCAUACCAAUAGUGGGAUCAUGAUAGUCUAAGAAGCUGUGACUGACGAACUGAAGCGUGACCGCCGACUUGCCCACGCCGCCGUCGCCGAGCACGACGAUUUUGUACACGCGUAUGCCGCCCCGCGUGGUCUGCGCGCCGGCAAGCCCCACCGACGAGCGAUCUGUGUCGAUGUCGGAGUCUUUGCCGCCCGACCUGCUCGAGCCCUGGCGGCACAGCUUGCUCCGCUUGCGGUUGCCGCUUGUGCACGCCUCGCCGGCCAUGCUGGCGCUUCGGCGGCGGUGGUGCGCUCCGUCGUCGCGAUGGUUCCAACGGGGUCGCUCUUUUUGCCUGGAAUUACUUUAACGUCGACAUCCUACGCGGCUCGCGCCUACCGUCCCGUCUUAAACCGAUGGACGAUUCGCCCUGACUGACACCAGCCCCGCGCACAACACCAACACAAGAGAUUGACAGGGCGAUCAUAUGAUUGUCAAUAUUGCAUACCGAGAUUUUCAUUUACAGUUUGCUGCAUGCAUCUUUAUCAGCAUAAACAAUAUGCAGACUUUUAAGGUAUGAUAGUUAUUAAACAAAUGACUAUCAAGUCAAGUUUGUAUCGUUUUAUACGUCGUAGUUACUUUGCAGGUUACGAUAUUACAUUUUGACAUGCGCGUAAUAAAAAUCAAACAGAUAUGAACGGCUAAUUUAUCAUUAUUAUUUGAUAAAUAAUUUAUGUUACUACUUAGAUAUUUGCUCAGGGAGUUAAUAACUACUGUUAAUAGUUUUAUAAUUAUUUUUCAUCAUAACAUUUUAAAUAUCAGCUGAUUUUUGCGUGCUGGUAAACGCAGUGCUUGGGAACUUGUCUUAUAGAUGUCACUACAGUCCUUAUAUACAUAGGUAUAUAAUAUAAAUUAAUUGUUGUAAUUCUUAAUUAUGUCCAGAAAUAUAAGUUUUUGAAUCUUAUUAAAUAAAAAAAUUAUUCCACAU